GUGCAGCAGGCCACUAUUUGAAUGUGUGUUGCUCCUUGUGGCAGGUAUACUGUUCCAAUGCCCUGGGAUCUCUGUAGUGGUCGGUACUGUAUUGAUUAUAAAUGGUGAAGUCCUAGUAUCUUGCUAGAGUGAGCUGGCCAGGAUGGUGGAGCUCUACCACCAUUUCACAGGUUAUAGACAGGGGCCACCAGGUUUCAGGAAAGCAGCAAUGACCCCUCAGUAAUAGUUGGAAAGUGUGAUAUGACACUGAGCUUCACUGUGUUGGUGAAGAAGAGGUGAGGAAAAUAAAAGCUGCAGUUUGCCUCCACCUCUGAAGAAGCACAAUACACCUUUCUGGGUUACCAAUGGGAUACUUCCCAACAGCUUUGUCAUCACAUACAAUAUUCUCAAACAAGAUCUUAAUGGCAUCUACUUUCUCCAGGAACACAGCCCCUGACCUGUGUGUGUUUGCGUAGAGAAGGCAUGCUAUGUACCCCCUAGGAUAUCAAGAUUCCUGUAGCAGAUUGAGCUCUGGCAGUUGAUCUCAGUGGCUUGAUAGAGUGUCAUUAUAAAAACGCACCUGGAAGAUUCUGUGGAAAAGACAACCUCAGAAGACCAAGAGGCUGACUUUGCAAGAGAGAGUCCGUUUACCACUUAGAACCGUGAACACCACCCCCGCCCUCAUUUAUCUCCAGACUUGAACUAGUGGUUAAAUCCCAACAUGUCCCAGAGAAGUCAAAAGCAUUGUAAAAUCUGGGAAUCUGCCCACCACUCAAGCCUGGGAAAGCUGGCAGAGGAUGCACGUGUUUUACUCACCUGAGUGUUUACAAUGCUCGUGAGGUGCCUCCCUGAUAUUUUUAUAGCAGAAUGGAGAAACACAACCAAGGAGAUACACCUAAGUAACAACAGCAAUGAUGUCAAAAAGAGUGCCUGAAUACUUAGGGUGGAGGUCCUGGACAUGCAAACCCAAGCUUCCUCUUUGCUGUGGCCAGGAAUCUGCAGUGAUUGAGAGCACAGACUGUAUCUAAAAUUCCACCUUUCAAAGUUCAGCAUAUUACUUUUUUUUUUCUUACACCUAUAAUAGAGGGAAAGAAAGGAUGUUCCUAUCCAUUCUUAAGGUACAGAGGAAUGAAGAAGGAAUAAACAGACCUUCUGGAUAAUUGCAUCAGCCUUCCCCACUAUUCCAAUGCCAUGCUAACAUUUCAAGUAAUGUCCCUUUUGUCUUGCUGAGAAAAAAUCAUUUCAUGAUUUAUUACACUGGAUUAAAGGCUAUGCACACUCUGGAGUUGGAACAUGACUGAAGGGCAAGCAAGCAUAAAGGAUAUCAGAAACAGUUGAUGUGUUUAAAUUUUUCUGAAUUUCUCAAGUAAACUUUUUAGAAAGUAGUCUGAAGAUAAAAUGGUUAUAUAAGUUACUUAAACUGUAGAUGAUGGCACCUUUAUCCCUAUAUAAUAAAAUUAAGAUAACUCUUCUGGGCACUUUAUUUGGAAUUAAUUAUUUAAUCCUCAUAACAACGCCAUGAAGAUCAUACUAUUACCAUCCAAAGUUUACUGAGGAAGAUACUGAGGCAAGAUUUACAAUCCAAAGCAGAGUGGGAGGAAGAGACCUACAAGACCAUGUUUCAUUGGAUAGCUUUGGAGUAAUAUCUAUAAUUUUAGAAAAAAGUUAAGAGGAAGAAGAAACUGGUGUCAGCUACACUUAGAAGAUUUUACAACAGAGACUGGCUUCCAUUCACUGAUCAGACAUUCACUGAUUUUUAAUUCUUACCACCAGAGAAAAAGUUGUUAUGAUGAGGGUCCUCAGGAAAGACAAUACAGUCAGCCGAGAAAUACAAUUUUCUUUGUCUACUGUUGUUUCCUUUACACGGACCAUUGAAAUAUAUACUUAACCACCAGCAAAACUCCUAUUAAACACAAGUAAAAAAAAAUCACUACAUGCAAAAGAGUGAACACCAGGCAAAGUGAUAAUUUAUGAAUUUCCAGGAUUUUUGUUGUAAUUUACCCGUGUAAGUUUACAAUAAAUGAUUGAUGUAACUAAA
RNAcentral lists this long non-coding RNA (2017 nucleotides) under Homo sapiens (human). Its description in RNAcentral is "PREDICTED lncRNA (TCONS_00208406)". The record is from RNAcentral. Lineage: Eukaryota; Metazoa; Chordata; Mammalia; Primates; Hominidae.